AACAUCUAAGUAGGGCCAGGAAAAGACAUCAACCGAGAUUCCGCUAGUAGUGGCGAGCGAACGCGGAGGAGGCCAAACCGAGGGACGCAAGUUCUUCGGGGUUGCGGACAGACAUCAUGACCAGAGGUAAUUAAGAGAACGGCGUGGGAAAGCCGGCCAUAGAAGGUGAGAGCCCUGUAUCUGAAAAUGAAGACUGGCAGUCUGGAUCCAGAGUACCGCGGGACACGUGAAACCCCGUGGGAAACCGGGUGGACCACCAUCCAAGCCUAAAUACUACCUGAUGACCGAUAGAGGAGCAGUACCGUGAGGGAAAGGUGAAAAGGACCCCGGGAGGGGAGUGAAAGAGAACCUGAAACCUUGUGCUUACAAGCAGUCAAAGCACGUUAAGGUGUGAUGACGUACUUUUUGUAGAACGGUCCGGCGAGUUAUAGUAACGAGCAAGCUUAAGGUAUUGAGUACCGGAGGCGAAGCGAGAGCGAGUCUGAAUAGGGCGUAAAGUUCGUUGCCAUAGACCCGAAACCGGGUGACCUAUCCAUGAGCAGGCUGAAGUGAGAGUAAAAUCUCAUGGAGGGCCGAACCGACCCCCGUUGCAAUGGUGGCGGAUGACUUGUGGAUAGCGGAGAAAUUCCAAUCGAACUCGGAGAUAGCUGGUUCUCCCCGAAAUAGCUUUAGGGCUAGCGUUAUGUUAGAUUACCGGAGGUAAAGCACUGAAUGGUGGCGGGGCCGAUAAGGUUACCAAGACCUAUCAAACUCUGAAUGCCGGAUAAUUGAUGCAUAGCAGUCAGACAGCGUGAGAUAAGUUUCGUUGUCAAAAGGGAAACAGCCCAGACCCACAGCUAAGGUCCCAAAUUCAUGCUAAGUGGAAAACGAUGUGGAAUUGCGAAAACAACCAGGAUGUUGGCUUAGAAGCAGCCACUCAUUAAAAGAGUGCGUAAUAGCUCACUGGUCGAGUGACUCUGCGCGGAAAAUAUAACGGGGCUAAGCAUGAAACCGAAGCUUGGGCUUGUCGUAAGACAGGGGUAGGGGAGCGUCGAGUAUGGGGUGAAGUCAGAGCGGAAGCACUGGUGGACUGUACUCGAGUGAGAAUGCCGGAAUGAGUAGCGAGAAUUAUGUGGGAAUCAUAAUGGCCGAAAAUCUAAGGUUUCUUGGGGAAGGUUCGUCCGCCCAAGGUAAGUCGGGAGCUAAGCUCAGGCCGAGAGGCGUAGGCGAUGCACAUACGGUAGAAAUUCCGUGACCACCGAAACUUAAACAGAGGGACACUUCGAAAUAGCGGAACCCGGGCGUUGGUUGACCCGGGCGAAAGGGAGCGAAAUUAGAGUAGCGAAGUCCGCGAUGUUCGGAGGCGAGAAAAGCUCUGAGGUAUGCUAAGGUGCCCGUACCGCAAACCGACACAGGUAGAUGAGGAGAGAAUCCUAAGGCCAACGGGAGAAGGGUUGUUAAGGAACUCGGCAAAUUGACCCCGUAACUUCGGAAGAAGGGGAGCCCCCUACGGGGGGUCGCAGAGAAAUGGCCCAAGCAACUGUUUACCAAAAACACAGGUCUAUGCUAAAUCGAAAGAUGACGUAUAUGGGCUGACGCCUGCCCGGUGCCGGAAGGUUAAGAGGAGAUGUCAGGCAACGAAGCAUUGAAUUUAAGCCCCGGUAAACGGCGGCCGUAACUAUAACGGUCCUAAGGUAGCGAAAUUCCUUGUCAGGUAAGUUCUGACCCGCACGAAUGGCGUAAUGAUUUGGGCACUGUCUCAACAGCCCGCCCGGCGAAA
Molecule: ribosomal RNA, 1759 nt
Filed under: metagenome
Description: bacterial LSU rRNA
Rfam family: Bacterial large subunit ribosomal RNA
Source: RNAcentral